Molecule: transfer RNA, 73 nt
Filed under: Chloroflexota bacterium
Lineage: Bacteria; Bacillati; Chloroflexota
Description: Chloroflexi bacterium (groundwater metagenome) tRNA-Thr
Rfam family: tRNA
About the family: Transfer RNA (tRNA) molecules are approximately 80 nucleotides in length. Their secondary structure includes four short double-helical elements and three loops (D, anti-codon, and T loops). Further hydrogen bonds mediate the characteristic L-shaped molecular structure. tRNAs have two regions of fundamental functional importance: the anti-codon, which is responsible for specific mRNA codon recognition, and the 3' end, to which the tRNAs corresponding amino acid is attached (by aminoacyl-tRNA synthetases). tRNAs cope with the degeneracy of the genetic code in two manners: having more than one tRNA (with a specific anti-codon) for a particular amino acid; and 'wobble' base-pairing, i.e. permitting non-standard base-pairing at the 3rd anti-codon position.
Source: RNAcentral
GCCCCAGUGGCGCAACGGCAGCGCAUCCGAUUUGUAAUCGGGAGGUUAGUGGGUUCGAAUCCCCUCUGGGGCU